GACGAACGCUGGCGGCGCGCCUAAUACAUGCAAGUCGAGCGGAACUUAGAAAGCUUGCUUUCUAAGUUUAGCGGCGGACGGGUGAGUAACACGUGGGCAACCUGCCUAUAAGACUGGGAUAACUUCGGGAAACCGGAGCUAAUACCGGAUAAUAUAAAAGAUCACAUGGUCUUUUAUUGAAAGAUGGCUUCGGCUAUCACUUAUAGAUGGGCCCGCGGCGCAUUAGCUAGUUGGUGAGGUAAUGGCUCACCAAGGCGACGAUGCGUAGCCGACCUGAGAGGGUGAUCGGCCACACUGGGACUGAGACACGGCCCAGACUCCUACGGGAGGCAGCAGUAGGGAAUCUUCCGCAAUGGACGAAAGUCUGACGGAGCAACGCCGCGUGAGCGAUGAAGGCCUUCGGGUCGUAAAGCUCUGUUGUUAGGGAAGAACAAGUAUCGUUCGAAUAGGGCGGUACCUUGACGGUACCUAACCAGAAAGCCACGGCUAACUACGUG
This 497-nucleotide ribosomal RNA is filed under the name uncultured bacterium. Its description in RNAcentral is "bacterial SSU rRNA". It matches the Rfam family "Bacterial small subunit ribosomal RNA", at positions 28 to 507 of the family's 1533-position model. The record is from RNAcentral.